Ailuropoda melanoleuca (giant panda) is the source of this 544-nucleotide long non-coding RNA. RefSeq lists it as uncharacterized. The record is from RefSeq and is a predicted model, not a curated record. NCBI's taxonomy places the organism in Eukaryota, Metazoa, Chordata, Mammalia, Carnivora, Ursidae. The transcript has 3 exons.
GCUUCAAAGAAACAGCAUGACUGGGGAUUUUGAGCCUCGUCUGUGCACAAGGAGGAUGUGGGUUGGAGGCAUCUGGGUGGCCUGCUGGGCGGGAUUGCUAGAAUGGAAGUCAACAUUCAAUAUACGAAGGACGUAGUCUGCCUAAGGGUUUCCACAACCUUCCACUGCACAAAAUCCUCAUCCCACAGGUGGCGCUCUCUCAGCACACGGUUCAAAACCACCGAGGGGGGCGCUUCCACCUCCACAGAGGCCUUCCACAGCUUCAGCGGGUGCCUGUCUCCCACCUUAGGAAAGACAUCAUCGAAGGCUAAAGAGGUCAACUAGUCCCAACCCACACCCAGCAUUCUUCACGGGACCUUCAGAAACUACCCCGAUGAUGUAACUUGGAAGACUGAUUCUGCACACCUCAGGUUGACCACGUCGUUCAGAAAGCACAGCAGCGUCUGCAAGACCUCUCUGUUCUCGUCGGCCAGCAGCAGGAUGGCCGCCUGCACCGCCUGCAGCCGCUGCUCCUUGGGGACAUCUAUGGAAAGGUGGGUGCCAG